AAAGAAAAUAACAAUGAUUCCCCUAGUAACGGCGAGUGAAGAGGGAUAAGCUCAAAUUUUAAAUCUGAUCGGUUCUACUUAUCAGAAUUGUAAUUUGAAGAAACGUUUUCUGUAUCUUGAAUUAGCCUAAAUCUUUUGGAACAAGGUAUCAUGGAGGGUGACAAUCCCGUUCAUGGUUAAUUUUAAGGUGCUUUACGAUACGUUUUCUAAGAGUCGAGUUGUUUGGGAUUGCAGCUCAAAAUGGGAGGUAAAUUUCUCCUAAAGCUAAAUAUUGGCGAGAGACCGAUAGCGAACAAGUACCGUGAGGGAAAGAUGAAAAGAACUUUGAAAAGAGAGUUAAACAGUACGUGAAAUUGUUGAAAGGGAAACGAUUGAAGUCAGUCGUACUAACGGGAAAUCAACCUUUUGGAGUCGUAAAUUUUGGAUUUUGAAGAGUUUAAACCUUCGGGUUCAAAUAUUUGCACUUUUUAGGCGUAAUUUCUCGUUCGGUAGGUUAACAUCGAUUUUGAACAUUAUAAAAUGAUCGGAGGAAUGUAGCUUCGAUCUCGUAUUGAAGUGUUAUAGCCUUUGGUAGAUGUAAUUAUCGAGAUCGAGGAUUGCAACGAAUACCCUUUGGGCUAUCCGUCUGAUCUCUGAUACGUUGCCUCGGUAACGAAAGCGUGCUUACGGUAUUGAGGUAUUACGGUCAAAAGGUUAGAACGUGAUUAAAUUCGUUAAGGAUGUUG
Molecule: ribosomal RNA, 725 nt
Filed under: uncultured Glomus
Lineage: Eukaryota; Fungi; Glomeromycota; Glomeromycetes; Glomerales; Glomeraceae
Description: eukaryotic LSU rRNA
Rfam family: Eukaryotic large subunit ribosomal RNA
Source: RNAcentral